GUUUCAAUUCCUCAUAGGCAGGCUAUCGGCGAAGAAACAAGAACAGACUGCGCAAAGCCUGGCUGAAG
Molecule: small RNA, 68 nt
Filed under: Acididesulfobacillus acetoxydans
Lineage: Bacteria; Bacillati; Bacillota; Clostridia; Eubacteriales; Peptococcaceae
Description: Peptococcaceae bacterium INE non-coding RNA
Source: RNAcentral